Molecule: ribosomal RNA, 891 nt
Filed under: Pseudomonas sp. Y2-4
Lineage: Bacteria; Pseudomonadati; Pseudomonadota; Gammaproteobacteria; Pseudomonadales; Pseudomonadaceae
Description: bacterial SSU rRNA
Rfam family: Bacterial small subunit ribosomal RNA
Source: RNAcentral
UAGCGGAUGACGGGAGCUUGCUCCUUGAUUCAGCGGCGGACGGGUGAGUAAUGCCUAGGAAUCUGCCUGGUAGUGGGGGACAACGUUUCGAAAGGAACGCUAAUACCGCAUACGUCCUACGGGAGAAAGCAGGGGACCUUCGGGCCUUGCGCUAUCAGAUGAGCCUAGGUCGGAUUAGCUAGUUGGUGGGGUAAUGGCUCACCAAGGCGACGAUCCGUAACUGGUCUGAGAGGAUGAUCAGUCACACUGGAACUGAGACACGGUCCAGACUCCUACGGGAGGCAGCAGUGGGGAAUAUUGGACAAUGGGCGAAAGCCUGAUCCAGCCAUGCCGCGUGUGUGAAGAAGGUCUUCGGAUUGUAAAGCACUUUAAGUUGGGAGGAAGGGCAGUAAGCUAAUACCUUGCUGUUUUGACGUUACCGACAGAAUAAGCACCGGCUAACUCUGUGCCAGCAGCCGCGGUAAUACAGAGGGUGCAAGCGUUAAUCGGAAUUACUGGGCGUAAAGCGCGCGUAGGUGGUUUGUUAAGUUGGAUGUGAAAGCCCCGGGCUCAACCUGGGAACUGCAUCCAAAACUGGCAAGCUAGAGUACGGUAGAGGGUGGUGGAAUUUCCUGUGUAGCGGUGAAAUGCGUAGAUAUAGGAAGGAACACCAGUGGCGAAGGCGACCACCUGGACUGAUACUGACACUGAGGUGCGAAAGCGUGGGGAGCAAACAGGAUUAGAUACCCUGGUAGUCCACGCCGUAACGAUGUCAACUAGCCGUUGGAAUCCUUGAGAUUUUAGUGGCGCAGCUAACGCAUUAGUUGACCGCCUGGGGAGUACGGCCGCAAGGUUAAACUCAAAUGAAUUGACGGGGGUCCGCACAAGCCGGUGGAGCAUGGUGAUUUAAUU